RNAcentral lists this long non-coding RNA (255 nucleotides) under Vigna radiata. RNAcentral's name for it is "long non-coding RNA (VRAD_LNC008829)". The record is from RNAcentral. Lineage: Eukaryota; Viridiplantae; Streptophyta; Magnoliopsida; Fabales; Fabaceae.
UGUGAAGAAGAAGAAAUGAAAAAAAGAUGAAAUGAAAAAGAAAAAGAGAAGGAGGAGAUGAUGCAACAAUGAUGACAAUAGUGGCUUAUUGGUGACAUUGAUGACACAUAGGUGGAGGACACUAGUGACGAUGGUUGCAUGAGUUAGAGAAUGAGGUGGAGGAAGAGGAAGAGGAAAAGAGGAAGGAGGAGGAAGAGGGACAUGACCUAAAGGUGGAGAAGAGGAAGAGGAUGAUAACCUAGAGGUGACGGUGGU